AAGUCAUAACAAGGUUUCCGUAGGUGAACCUGCGGAAGGAUCAUUAAUAAUGCUCUCUGGCUUCGGUCAGUUGAGUUCAAUGAGUGCCUUCUCUUCGGAGUUGGCCAUCCAUACACACCGUGAACUGUGGCUUCGGCCAUCACAAACUGUUAGUAAUGAAUGUAAUAUCAUAACAAAAACAAAACUUUUAACAACGGAUCUCUUGGCUCUCGCAUCGAUGAAGAACGCAGCGAAAUGCGAUAAGUAAUGUGAAUUGCAGAAUUCAGUGAAUCAUCGAAUCUUUGAACGCACCUUGCGCCCUUUGGUAUUCCGAAGGGCAUGCCUGUUUGAGUGUCAUGAAACCUCACCCCACUUGGGUUUUUGCCUGAGCGGUGGUGUAUUGGGUGUUGCCUUGCCAAAGGCUCGCCUUAAAAACAUAAGCACCUUGGAUGUAAUACGUUUCAUCCUUCUGGGUGGCUGAUAACCCCACAUAUUCAUGAUCUGGCCUCAAAUCAGGUAGGGCUACCCGCUGAACUUAAGCAUAUCAAUAAGCGGAGGAAAAGAAACUAACUAGGAUUCCCUUAGUAACGGCGAGUGAACCGGGAUGAGCUCAAAUUUGAAAUCUGGCGUCUUUCAGGCGUCCGAGUUGUAAUCUAUAGAGGCGUUUUCCGCGCU
RNAcentral lists this ribosomal RNA (654 nucleotides) under Cryptococcus sp. AsA4.1. RNAcentral describes it as "eukaryotic LSU rRNA". The stretch from base 183 to 336 matches the Rfam family "5.8S ribosomal RNA". Lineage: Eukaryota; Fungi; Basidiomycota; Tremellomycetes; Tremellales; Cryptococcaceae. The record is from RNAcentral.